RNAcentral lists this ribosomal RNA (2033 nucleotides) under human gut metagenome. Its description in RNAcentral is "bacterial LSU rRNA". It matches the Rfam family "Bacterial large subunit ribosomal RNA", at positions 1 to 1977 of the family's 2925-position model. The record is from RNAcentral.
GCAAGAUACCACGGGCGCACGGCGGAUGCCUUGGCACAGGGAGCCGAUGAAGGACGCGGCAAGCUGCGAUAAUCCCCGGCGAGGAGCACACAUCCUUCGACCCGGGGGUCUCCGAAUGGGCGAACCCAUGCACAGCAGUGUGCAUAUCCCCCCGCUGAACACAUAGGCGGGGGGAGGACAACCCGGGGAACUGAAACAUCUAAGUACCCGGAGGAGAGGAAAUCAAUCUCGAGACUCCCCGAGUAGCGGCGAGCGAAAGGGGACCGAUGGCCAAACCGUCGAGCGGGCAUACCCGGCAGGGGUUCCGCCGACGGGGUUGCAGGGCCGCGCAUCCGGGGGCUGCCGCCCCCGGGCGCAGGUCCGGCUGGGGAGCGGAACGGCAUGGGAGGGCCGGCCGCAGCGGGUGACAGCCCCGUACGCGAACCCAGACCGGACGGCGCGACGCGGUCCCUGAGUAGGGCCGGGCACGUGAAACCCGGUCCGAACCUGGGUGGACCACCAUCCAAGCCUGAGUACUACCCUGUGACCGAUAGCGCACCAGUACCGUGAGGGAAAGGUGAAAAGCACCCCGGGAGGGGAGUGAAACAGUACCUGAAACCGUGCGCCCACGAGCAGUCGGAGCACCUUUAUGGUGUGACGGCGUGCCUUUUGUAGAAUGAGCCAGCGAGUCGCUGGCGCGGGGCGAGGUUAACCGAAAGGGAGCCGAAGCGAAAGCGAGCCUUAACAGGGCGACUUGAGUCCCGCGCCGCGGACGCGAAGCCGGGUGAGCUAUCCGUGGGCAGGCUGAAGCGGGGGUAAGACCCCGUGGAGGGCCGAACGCACGUCGGUUGAAAACGGCGGCGAUGACCUGCGGAUAGGGGUGAAAGGCCAAUCAAACCCGGAGAUAUCUCGUUCUCCCCGAAAUAGCUUUAGGGCUAGCGUCGCGCGUUCACCGCCGGAGGUAGAGCACCGGAUGGACGAGGGGGCUUCGCCGCCUACCGAAUCCAACCGAACUCCGAAUGCCGGCGGCCCAGAGCGCGGCAGUCAGAGCAUGUGGGCUAAGCUGUGUGCUCGAGAGGGAAACAGCCCGGACCGCCCGCUAAGGUCCCCAAGUUCCAGCCGAGUGGCAAAGGAUGUGCGUCCGCCCAGACAACCAGGAUGUUGGCUUAGAAGCAGCCAUGCAUUCAAAGAGUGCGUAACAGCUCACUGGUCGAGUGGACAUGCGCCGACAAUACACGGGGCUAAGCUGGACACCGAAGCGGCGGGAUUUUGAUUUACAGAAUCGGUAGGGGAGCUUCCCAUGGGCGGAGAAGCCGGAGGGCGACCGACGGUGGAGCGCAUGGGAGUGAGAAUGCUGGCAUGAGUAGCGAGAGACGAGAGAGUAACUCGUCCGCCGUGAACCCGAGGUUUCCUGGGCAAGGCUAAUCCUCCCAGGGUCAGUCGGGGGCUAAGGCGAGGCCGGUAGGCGUAGCCGACGCGCAGCAGGCAGACAUUCCUGCACCGCGCACGCGGCGCUACGACCGACGGGGCGACGGAUGGGGGUGGCUCGGCGGGGUUCUGGACGUCCCCGUGAUGGAGCGCGGCCCGCGGACCAGGGAAAUCCGGUCCGCAGAAGGGCGAGGCUCCGGACGAAGCGAUCAAGCGAAGCGAGUGAGCCCGAGGUCCCUAGAAAAACCCCUAGGCAGGCGCGUGCGCGCCCGUACCGCAAACCGACACAGGUGGGUGGGUAGAACAUACCGAGGCGAUCGGGUCAACCAUGGUCAAGGAACUCGGCACAAUGGCCCCGUAACUUCGGGAGAAGGGGUGCCCGCGCGUACGUGAACCGGCUCGCCCGGGGAGCGGAGGCGGGCCGCAGUGGAGAGGCCCAAGCGACUGUUUACCAAAAACACAGGACUCUGCAGAAGCCGCAAGGCGACGUAUAGGGUCUGACGCCUGCCCGGUGCCGGAAGGUCACGCGGAGGAGUUAGCCGAUUCGGCGAAGCCCCGAAGCCAAGCCCCGGUAAACGGCGGCCGUAACUAUAACGGUCCUAAGGUAGCGAAAUUCCUUGUCGGGU